CAAUUUCUUUAUCUAAAUUUGCAUAAUUUUUAGAAUUCUAGUUGAGCUGUAGAGAUUCAAAUGUGAAUUUGAAUGGGGUGAGUAUAUUUAUUUGAUUUCUACUCAAGUCUUAUUUGGUUGGGGGUAAGUGAGCUAAGAAGUUUUAAAUUCUUGAAAGUGCACUUUCGAGGAAUUAGAAUUUCCAGGAAGUGAUUUAUUUGAAUCAAACGAGACUUCAGAUUUCUACCCCCUAGCAGUACCUAGGACAGUUGGCCCUAAAGCACUACAGAUUCAGGGUUAAACAGUAAAGUAAAUGAUGUGAUGGAAAGCAGUGUCGUUUAAGCAUUAUAUGAUCAACUUUUCAAACCUCAUUAUUUCA
RNAcentral lists this unclassified non-coding RNA (358 nucleotides) under Hevea brasiliensis (rubber tree). Lineage: Eukaryota; Viridiplantae; Streptophyta; Magnoliopsida; Malpighiales; Euphorbiaceae. The record is from RNAcentral.